Molecule: ribosomal RNA, 432 nt
Filed under: uncultured bacterium
Lineage: Bacteria
Description: partial 16S ribosomal RNA
Rfam family: Bacterial small subunit ribosomal RNA
Source: RNAcentral
AGCGAACGCUGGCGGCAGGCUUAACACAUGCAAGUCGAGCGGGCACUUCGGUGUCAGCGGCAGACGGGUGAGUAACACGUGGGAACGUACCCUUUGGUUCGGAAUAACGCUGGGAAACUAGCGCUAAUACCGGAUACGCCCUUUUGGGGAAAGGCUUGCUGCCGAAGGAUCGGCCCGCGUCUGAUUAGCUAGUUGGUGGGGUAAUGGCCUACCAAGGCGACGAUCAGUAGCUGGUCUGAGAGGAUGAUCAGCCACACUGGGACUGAGACACGGCCCAGACUCCUAGGGGAGGCAGGAGUGGGGAAUAUUGGAAAAUGGGCGCAAGCCUGACCCACCCGUGCCGGGGGAGUGAUGAAGGCCUUAGGGUUGUAAAGCCCUUUUGUCCGGGACGAUAAUGGCGGUACCGGAAGAAGAAGCCCCGGCUGACUUCGU